CAGCAGUAGCCGCGGGAACACGGAGGGAGCUAGCGUUGUUCGGAAUUACUGGGCGUAAAGCGCGCGUAGGCGGUUACUCAAGUCAGAGGUGAAAGCCCGGGGCUCAACCCCGGAACUGCCUUUGAAACUAGGUGACUAGAAUCUUGGAGAGGUCAGUGGAAUUCCGAGUGUAGAGGUGAAAUUCGUAGAUAUUCGGAAGAACACCAGUGGCGAAGGCGACUGACUGGACAAGUAUUGACGCUGAGGUGCGAAAGCGUGGGGAGCAAACAGGAUUAGAUACCCCGGUAGUCCCUGUCUCUUAUAC
Molecule: ribosomal RNA, 304 nt
Filed under: uncultured bacterium
Lineage: Bacteria
Description: partial 16S ribosomal RNA
Rfam family: Bacterial small subunit ribosomal RNA
Source: RNAcentral